AAUUAGUUUCUCUCAUGCUAUGAAUUCUCCUUUGGACUUGGGCAAUAUCGAUCGACAUUUCAACUACUUAAAUAAUGGCUUGUAAUUUCAUUCUCAAUGGUGCCCAAAUCUAUCGUAACCCAAUGAUUUUGUUUAAUAAAAACUAAAAUAUAUAAUUAGGCUAAAGUCAAUAUGUUAUAGUAGUAAAAGCAUACUCAAAAGGGUUUGUUUGUGUGGGGAACAACAUAUUCAUGGGAUUUGUCGACACCCAACAACUCCUCGUUAUGUCAAGCGUCG
RNAcentral lists this long non-coding RNA (276 nucleotides) under Olea europaea (common olive). Its description in RNAcentral is "long non-coding RNA (OEUR_LNC000996)". Lineage: Eukaryota; Viridiplantae; Streptophyta; Magnoliopsida; Lamiales; Oleaceae. The record is from RNAcentral.